UUGUAUUUGGUUGGGAAAUACAUUCCCGAUUUUUAUCACUGGGUGUUUCUUGGGUUUUAUAUCAGGCAGCACAUAAAGCAAGUCCUGCAUUAGCAGUCUCUGAACUAUUUUUAUUACAAUGUAGUCUGAUUACAUAUGCAAGAGCAACCGCAUAUAAUUUUAGUAAGUUAUUGGCUGUUACUAGAAAUGAAGGGUUUUAGAACAAAUGUACUUCUUUCAUUAGCUCUCACUCAUGACCUAUGAACUGUGUAACUUUUGAUUGAUGUUCUACUUUAUAGUUCUUUUGUUUAACCUCAAAAAAGUUUGAUUUGUGUUGUUUCAGCAGAUAUUGAUAUUGACUGCAACUGGAAAAAUUUCGUUUGCUCAACUGUCGCAUGUAUCGAUAAUCUUAACUAACUCCAGAUCCUUGCCCUUGGUUUUCGUUCUUGCUCUGUGUAUUAAGAUACAUGUAUACACUAUUCACAACUUGGCUGCCAUAGGAAGGCUGCAAUAUUUCCUGAAACAACACAUGUCAAUAUUCCUUUACGUUAAGAAACCAGAAAGAGAAGUAGGUCUCAAAUUUUGCAAGCUGGUUUAGACGAGUUAUUACUUGGUAAAGAAUUGUGAAUAUUUUAUUAACUUACGGUAGUGGUGCCAAUAAAUUACGUUUCGGAGAUAAAAAUGUUUAUCCAUGUGAUGCUGUUGCAAUAUAUCCGCAUUAUAUGUUUAUCCAUCAGUUGCAGGCGAAGCAAAUACACGAGUAACUAUUUUCCCUCCUGCAGUAUUCUGCCAUAUUGGAAAGUUCAAUUUCGUAACCAUGGUUAUGGACACACCUUCGUCACACCUCUUUAUUGCUCCAAUCAGAGCUUGCGUGUAGCUUUCCCAGAAUGCCCCCUGCAAUCGUAAAUUAGUUCAUCUUCACUUCAUAUUUCCAUGUGAAACACAAAUGCCCCGUUUUAUUCCUUCCAGUAGCCGUAAUAGUUCUAUUUUGUAUUCGAAAUCUUGAGCUAGCCUUUCGUAGGGUGGAGUUUUUCUUGCAAGUCUUUACAACCGACUUCAACUCAUUCAGAAGAGUAAACCUUUCAUGUUUUCGCGAUCUAUGGCCCUCAACAAUUCGAUGAGGAACAAAGUUAUUGUGGAAACUGUGAGAUAGCCGUUUUGAGGUAUGUAGUUGGGUAGUACAAUGUACUACAGACGCUGCCCCACAAGUCAGUGGCACCGAUGCAUAAAUCAGCCUGUGUGGUGGAAUGUCCAUAGGCAUUCUCCCUUGACAUGUGUAUGAUGGUUGAUGGCUUUCGAUUCUAUUGAGAUUUAUCCAAGCCAGGCCUUCCUGGUGAAAGAUUUAGAAUAAGUGACUGAAUUAGUUAUCAAUUGUUUACUCUAAGACUCCCGUAAUUCUGCAAAAUGCUGGGUUUGGUGAUAGGUUGUGUCCUCACUACUAGGAGCUAUACCAUUUUUUAACAGUUAGGAAAAUCAACUUUAAUUUGCAUUACUAUAUGGCAAGGUAAUUUAGAGGUAAAUACCAGCACUGAUUUGGUUCUUACUUGUUUGGUACUUUUCCUUGUACGCCAUUUCCACUGAAAUGAUCAUAACCCAUGUAUUUUUGUUUUGAAAGGCACCAACUUUAAAAUUAAAAAGUUUACUUCAAGUGCAAUACAAUGAAUCACUUGCUAACUUUG
RNAcentral lists this long non-coding RNA (1658 nucleotides) under Pocillopora damicornis (cauliflower coral). Its description in RNAcentral is "uncharacterized LOC113677803". Lineage: Eukaryota; Metazoa; Cnidaria; Anthozoa; Scleractinia; Pocilloporidae. The record is from RNAcentral.